GAUGAACGCUGGCGGCGUGCCUAAUACAUGCAAGUCGAGCGAACAGACGAGGAGCUUGCUCCUCUGACGUUAGCGGCGGACGGGUGAGUAACACGUGGAUAACCUACCUAUAAGACUGGGAUAACUUCGGGAAACCGGAGCUAAUACCGGAUAACAUGUUGAACCGCAUGGUUCAACAGUGAAAGACGGUCUUGCUGUCACUUAUAGAUGGAUCCGCGCCGCAUUAGCUAGUUGGUAAGGUAACGGCUUACCAAGGCAACGAUGCGUAGCCGACCUGAGAGGGUGACCGGCCACACUGGAACUGAGACACGGGCCAGACUCCUACGGGAGGCAGCAGUAGGGAAUCUUCCGAAAUGGGCGAAAGCCUGACGGAGCAACGCCGCGUGAGUGAAGAAGGUCUUCGGAUCGUAAAACUCUGUUAUUAGGGAAGAACAAAUGUGUAAGUAACUAUGCACGUCUUGACGGUACCUAAUCAGAAAGCCACGGCUAACUACGUG
RNAcentral lists this ribosomal RNA (497 nucleotides) under uncultured bacterium. RNAcentral describes it as "partial 16S ribosomal RNA". It matches the Rfam family "Bacterial small subunit ribosomal RNA", at positions 28 to 507 of the family's 1533-position model. The record is from RNAcentral.